Molecule: non-coding RNA, 466 nt
Organism: Pelobates cultripes (western spadefoot toad)
Lineage: Eukaryota; Metazoa; Chordata; Amphibia; Anura; Pelobatidae
Source: the annotation of a GenBank genome assembly
AUUAGUUCUGCCGCUGGGUUGGGGCAGAGGGAGUGAUUGUAUGCCCAGGAGGGGGAUGGGUGCAGGGUCCAGGGGGUCCAAGCAAAUGCUUGCCCGGGGUUCAAUCAAUAUUAAAGACGGCCCUGUGAGGAAGAUUACAAAGAGCUGGAAACAUAGAAUGUGAUGGCAGAUAAGAACCAUUUGGCCCAUCUAGUCUGGCCAAUUUUCUAAAUACUUUCAUUAGUUCCUGGCAUUAUCUUAGAUCUAGGAUAGCCUUAUGCCUAUCCCACGCAUGCUUAAGCUUAAACUCCUUCACUGUGUUAACCUCUACCACUUCAGCUGGAAGGCUUUUCCAUGCAUCCACUACCCUCUCAGUAAAGUAAUUGUAACGGAUCACCUGGCACCCCAACUGGGUACCUCCGUUAAAGGAUGCUCCUAGCGCUUACAGAGGGCUCCAAGCACUCCGCAGACACCACAACCACCGCAG